RNAcentral lists this ribosomal RNA (484 nucleotides) under uncultured bacterium. Its description in RNAcentral is "bacterial SSU rRNA". It matches the Rfam family "Bacterial small subunit ribosomal RNA", at positions 28 to 507 of the family's 1533-position model. The record is from RNAcentral.
GAUGAACGCUAGCGGCAGGCUUAAUACAUGCAAGUCGUACGGGAUCCGAGAUAGCAAUAUCUUGGUGAGAGUGGCGCACGGGUGCGUAACACGUAUGCAACCUACCUUUAACCGGGACACAACCUCGAGAAAUUGUGGCUAAUAUCCCAUAACACUGCGAAGUGGCAUCACUUUGCAGUUAAAACUCCGGUGGUUAUAGAUGGGCAUGCGCGACAUUAGCUAGUUGGUGAGGUAACGGCCCACCAAGGCUACGAUGUCUAGGGGUUCUGAGAGGAUUAUCCCCCACACUGGUACUGAGACACGGACCAGACUCCUACGGGAGGCAGCAGUGAGGAAUAUUGGACAAUGGGCGCAAGCCUGAUCCAGCCAUGCCGCGUGCAGGAAGAAGCAUCUAUGGUGUGUAAACUGCUUUUGUACGGGAAGAAACACUCCUUCGUGAAGGAGCUUGACGGUACCGUAAGAAUAAGGAUCGGCUAACUCCGUG